Molecule: unclassified non-coding RNA, 345 nt
Filed under: soil metagenome
Description: partial contains 5.8S ribosomal RNA, internal transcribed spacer 2, and large subunit ribosomal RNA
Rfam family: 5.8S ribosomal RNA (bases 1-119)
Source: RNAcentral
GAUGAAGAACGUAGCGAAAUGCGAUACGUAAUGUGAAUUGCAAAUUCAGUGAAUCAUCGAGUCUUUGAACGCACAUUGCGCCCCCUGGUAUUCCGGGGGGCAUGCCUGUCCGAGCGUCAUUGCUGCCCUCAAGCACGGCUUGUGUGUUGGGCCCCGUCCUCCGAUCCCGGGGGACGGGCCCGAAAGGCAGCGGCGGCACCGCGUCCGGUCCUCGAGCGUAUGGGGCUUUGUCACCCGCUCUGUAGGCCCGGCCGGCGCUUGCCGAUCAACCCAAAUUUUUAUCCAGGUUGACCUCGAAUCAGGUAGGGAUACCUGCUGAACUUAAGCAUAUCAAUAAGCGGAGGA